RNAcentral lists this long non-coding RNA (215 nucleotides) under Capsicum annuum. Its description in RNAcentral is "long non-coding RNA (CANN_LNC000663)". Lineage: Eukaryota; Viridiplantae; Streptophyta; Magnoliopsida; Solanales; Solanaceae. The record is from RNAcentral.
CACAUCUAUGAGCAAGAGGCUACAAGAUGUUUUAGGAAAAAGUAUGAUUCUUUCUUUCAGAAGUCUAUCUUGCUUAAAGUGUCUCUCUCUGCUAUUGAUUUGUGCUUUUCUCUUUCAAAAAAAUGCCUCCAUGUCGAGUGAGAAAAAAUAAUAAUGGUCAGCAAUCUCAACCCGCUGACCCACUGAGUGAAAAUGUGUCUCAUGCUGAAUUUUGG